This is a long non-coding RNA of Entelurus aequoreus (snake pipefish), 1048 nucleotides long. RefSeq lists it as uncharacterized. The transcript is spliced from 3 exons. NCBI's taxonomy places the organism in Eukaryota, Metazoa, Chordata, Actinopteri, Syngnathiformes, Syngnathidae. The record is from RefSeq and is a predicted model, not a curated record.
ACGCCCCACCGACAUCUUUGAUUGUGGCACCUGUGUAUUGUAGACGAGUCAGAAGAUGGACGCUUCUACAUGAGGGAGGAUUUGUUUUGUGACCUGCUAUGUCUCAUUUAAUAUAAUGUCUACCUAAUUUCAUAAUAAGUCAAUCAAGCGUGGGGCUAGACACCUUACUUCCGCUUCAAUCUGUAUUCCACUAGUUCAUAAUCACUUCCGGUGUCAUGGCAUACUUAGUGUAUUUACUUAAAAGCAUUAACCAUGUUAUCCUUGCCCAGACAAAUAUUUAUUGAUGACUGAAGAGAUAUUAUCUUUAAGCCACAUUUAGUGUAACGAGACAUUAACUGUAUGUGUGUCCAAACACUGCCCAGUUUUGGAACUCAAACAGCAAUUGCGGGAUUUCCUAGCCUCCCUGAACGUCCCGCCGACAUCUUUGAUUGGUGUCACCUGUAAAGAUGUCGACAGGAAGAUAGAAGAUUCUACAUGAGGGACAUUUUCAUCUGGUGCUUCCAGAGGAUGUCAGGACCACUCAGGGAACUGUCCCCUUUGGAAGGGAACCAAGAGCAGCACUAUCUUCAUGCCAUGGAAGGCAUUCAUCACGUUUGAAGAUGGCGGAUCAGGAGCAGACAAUGGCUGACUGUGGGAUCUGAAGAUCUUUUCAGUUCUAACUUGUGUGAAGAUCAGAGCAAAGCUGCAAUUGAUGUGGUCCAGGCUGUCAAACACAAGACCGUGUCAACAACACAAGCUAGUUUCUGUUAUCAAUGAAGAUGAGCCGGAAGCCAAAGCCUCGGGGGAAGAGUCGUUUUGCCACUUCCUCUAUAGAAAGACUGAUUGUACCAACAAUGUCUUCACUAACAAAUGCAAUUCUGCUAGAUUUGAGAAAGCAGUGCACUGUAAGAGUUGUUGCACGAUGCUGUCAACUAGACAACACAAGAUUGUUCUGUUCUGUCAGCCAUGUUUGCUGUGAAACCUCCUUCAACGCUACAAAGAGAUGGAAAACAUUGAACUCAUACAUUGUGUCAAGUGUCAUAUGUUUUGCUGGCACAUUGGUGUGACA